This 667-nucleotide ribosomal RNA is filed under the name uncultured organism. Its description in RNAcentral is "SSU rRNA". It matches the Rfam family "Bacterial small subunit ribosomal RNA", at positions 652 to 1323 of the family's 1533-position model. The record is from RNAcentral.
UUGAGGCAGGCGGAAUGCGUGGUGUAGCGGUGAAAUGCAUAGAUAUCACGCAGAACCCCGAUUGCGAAGGCAGCCUGCCAAGCCAUGACUGACGCUGAUGCACGAAAGCGUGGGGAUCAAACAGGAUUAGAUACCCUGGUAGUCCACGCAGUAAACGAUGAUCACUAGCUGUUUGCGAUACACUGUAAGCGGCACAGCGAAAGCGUUAAGUGAUCCACCUGGGGAGUACGCCGGCAACGGUGAAACUCAAAGGAAUUGACGGGGGCCCGCACAAGCGGAGGAACAUGUGGUUUAAUUCGAUGAUACGCGAGGAACCUUACCCGGGUUUGAACGCAUUCGGACCGAGGUGGAAACACCUUUUCUAGCAAUAGCCGUUUGCGAGGUGCUGCAUGGUUGUCGUCAGCUCGUGCCGUGAGGUGUCGGCUUAAGUGCCAUAACGAGCGCAACCCUUGCCACUAGUUACUAACAGGUAAAGCUGAGGACUCUGGUGGGACUGCCAGCGUAAGCUGCGAGGAAGGCGGGGAUGACGUCAAAUCAGCACGGCCCUUACAUCCGGGGCGACACACGUGUUACAAUGGCGUGGACAAAGGGAAGCCACCUGGCGACAGGGAGCGAAUCCCCAAACCACGUCUCAGUUCGGAUCGGAGUCUGCAACCCGACUCCGUGA